Long non-coding RNA from Gallus gallus (chicken), 3976 nucleotides. The record is from Ensembl. Lineage: Eukaryota; Metazoa; Chordata; Aves; Galliformes; Phasianidae.
AACCACACAUUAGCUAAUCAGCAGGUUGAGGGGAAAGCUGCCAAAAGCAGAUCUGAUAAUUGGCAGCAUUCAAACAAUCAUAGCAGGAAACUUUACACUUCCUGCAGACAAGGCUACUGAUGAAGACAAUGCUGAGAUAUAACUUUAGGGGAAAAGAAUUAGGAUGUUUAGUACUUUCAUGUUUAAUGAUCUCUUGAAAAACUGGAUUCACAGCUCAUGGGAGGCACAGGUAUUUUGCACAGAAACAAUGUAGAAAACCACCCAACACUGGUAAAGGGAGUUCUGAUAGCCUAGUGAUCAACUAGAAGCAUUCAUGAGAUUUGUCCUCUGCCAAGUUUUACAAGCCAUUUAAAACACCUUUUUAUUUGUCUACAUCCAUAUAUGGUACAGUUAUUACUGUAAUAGGUGAGAACUUGACACAUUUAUCAGCACAACAUUCCCGAGAUAAAUAUCAACAAAUCCAUCCCACUGGUAGCUAUUUUAAACACACAUCAGCUGAGUUUUAGACCUACUCAAGACUUCAGGUGAUUUAGAUGAGAUUUAAAACAAAAUUCAAUGUUCUAAUUUUCCACUCAUCUACUGCUUAGCUUUGGCACUAUCUAAAUUCUUUCAAGCGUUUAAAGUCACCCAAAUUUCCUCAUAUAUUCUCCUUUAAGGAAUAGAAACACUUCAGUCUUCACAGUGUGAAGAAGCUGUAGCUCUUCGGUCAAAGAAGUUCAACUUUCAGCAUUAUCCGCCACUAAGCAUCCUUCAUUUAUCUCAUUGUUGGCAGCAUUCUUGCUAAUGUUUUACUUCACAUAUCUUUCAGAUCAAGUACAGCAGGAAUGGCUGUAGAAGAGCAGAGAUGAAGAUCUCCCACUUCUCCUCACAUCUGAGUUGACUCAGGUUCUGUGGGCAAACAUACCUGUGAGUUUCUUUCACAGAGAGGAACAGUUUCAACAGGAAAAGGUGAAGUGUCCUUGUUUCAAAAUAGGCUGUAUCUGGAGAAGGAGAACAGUCCUAAAGAGAUGGCAGAGAACCAAAUAAACAAAAAUAAAAAUAAGGACAAAAAUAAAAAAUAAAAAUAAAUGCAACAUUAUGAGUCGUCACAGGAAAUGCUUUCCUGUAUGUUAAUAUAUAAAACGUGCAAUUUCUACAAACUGUAUAUUUAAAAAACAUCCUUGGCAGUAAGAUAUACAGAAAGUAACAGAGUAUGAAGAAGUAAGGUCCAGUCAAAACUUUGCAACGAAGCUGCCUUUGUAGCCACUGAAGGCAGAUACACUCCUCAGGAGAUGUGCAUUUUGGUGGUAGAUUUCUGAUACCUGCACUUCUUAGAAUACAGUCAACUUCUGCUCGUGACUAUUGAAUUUCACUCUUAUCAUCUCCUUUACUGAUCUGAAGCUCUUGGGGCUGUGUAGGAAUCUCAAAUUCUGGGGCUGUCAUACCUUCGUUUGGAAUGCACUCAAGGAAUAAACAGCCUCCAAAUUAAUGGAAAACGAGCCCAAAAUUUUGCACAUUUUAUUUCUACUAACUGCUGAAUUCUUCAAGCCAUCAAGCAUGGGAAGACCUCAAAGGAUAUGCUUACUGUGCUUACUACUACAGAAUAUUAACAGCAGAAGGAAAAUGCAGGAAAAUCCCACCCUUGAGAUGGCAGCAGAGGGAUUGUCUGACAAAAUGGAGUCUGACCUGGAAAGGCAUAUGAAGUGUGGAACUGAACUCCUCCAUGUGGAAAAAAUGGAACCCAUUGACAUUCAUUGAUGUUUGUUGAACAUUUAUGGAGACCAAACAGUGGAUGUGAGCGCUGCGAGGUGGCUCCUGGUCCCUCCCCAUGACAGGACCAGUGGAACCAGCGGUGCUAUUUCUCUUCAUGUCUUUGUCCUUAAGAGAGGCCUAGGUGACAACAAAGCUGCUGACCAGAAGUUAUCUGGAAUGAGGGAAGAUGAAAAUAUGAGAGAGAAGCAAUGACUACUGCCUUCUGUACACCUUACUUUUCAUUUUGUAGUGAAACAUUGAGUUUGCACUGGUAUUGGCUUUUUUUCUUACUUUUAUUUUUAAGAAAUUCUUUUUUAUAUUGCUGACUUUCCAAGACUCUCUCCUUUUUAGAGGGAUAAUUCUUUCCUUCCACAUUUGCAUGUCCUGUGCCAGAAACCAAAAAGAGGAAAGGAAACCUGGUCUUUUCUCCUGUUUUGUAUGCUUGCAUGUGUAUUUAAGAUUUUUCCUUUUCUGAUUCGAAACAUACAUACUAGCAGCCCAGUAGAAUUUAUACUUUCUUAGUUUUUUUUUUAAUUAAUCUUCAUCAGACAUAGUUAAAAUGGAUACUCAGGCCUGGUAUAAGCUUAUUUCUUUAGUCAUCCACAUCCAAAGUAUAUGUUUGUAAUAAUCUGUGAAGCGACAGUAUGGCAGUCCUCCAGUUUCCAUACUAUCACUCAAUAGUUUUUUACCUCACUGUCAAGGAAUAUUAGCAAUCCCUAGGAGCAAGGAAGUCCAGAAGCUAUACCUGACAUUGCCCAAAACUCAUGACAAAGUAAGUCCAAUCUGGACGUCACAUUUGGAAUAGAUGGUUACUUUCCUUCACAUCUCUAUUAUAGCUAGCUCAUUCACAUUUGUCUUGCCAAUCACGUGAGCAAAUUCAUGAGAAAAGCAAAUCAAAAAGCAUAACACGGCACUGACAAAUGUCUGGAUGAGAUAGGUGACCUAUCUGUUCCUCCCUCAAGUCUGGCAUGCAUGAGAUUUAUUCAUGAAUAAAGCUUUAUGACUGUACACUGCACUGCCAUCACAACACCCAUAUAUAACUUUAAGACAAUUCUGCCAGAUAUGCAUGGUCAGCAAAAUGGAGAGAAAGGUGCUGGGUGUUGGGUCCCAUGGUCAAAGGAAACUUGUGAAAGAAUAUUUCUCUGUGUCAGAGGAAUGCUACUUCCUUUCCGCAUGCAAAAUGGCAAUAGUCUCUAAAUUGUUUGAAGAGUCUUUCAUAAAUCUCAUUUAUACUGGCCUGGUAUUGGUAACUUAAAUAGUCCCUGUUAUAAAGCAGUCUUUUAACAGCAAUAGCAGUGCUUGGCAUAGCAAACACUUAGGCCCAGCUGCUCUGUGGGCAUUACUGCCAUAUCAUAAUAUCAUUGAUCUGUAAAAUAAAGAUAAACCUUGGAAAUAAGUAGCAAUGCUUCUUCUUCAGAGUUAUGUUUAAUGAAACAUACUUUUCAUGUAGUGAUUUAAUUUCAGUUGGACUAGUUUAAUAAGUAAGGUCAAGACCUUUUAAGAACUGCAGAGAUCAAUGUUGUUGAUCUACACAAAUUAGAGUUCCACAGCAUUACCCUUGAAGCAGUGUGGGAGGCUGAUAAAUGCACGAGAUGUGGUUUUAAGACAUAAUAUUGAAAACAGCAUUCCUGUGAUUAUAUAGCUAAUAUAACAUUUUGAUUUGGAAACUUGAAUAUGUGAACUGGAAGUCGUAACGUACCAAGCUUACUUCCUUUCUCUGCUAGUAAUGCAUUUUGUGUUCUUGAGGACCAUCUGCCCUUAUAAGACAAUUGUAGCUGUCCCAUAGAGUUACUGUGAGCAUUAGUUAAUUACCACUAUAUGCUUUGAACACAUAAAGCCCCAUAGCUCACAGAAACAUGUAUUAUAAAGUAUAACUAUGCAGUUAUUGGAAAAGUCCCUGAUUGUCUCUUUGAGACAACUGUCACGUAGCACUUACUAUACAUAGGAAGUGACACACAAUGACGAAGCAGUUAAAACUCAAAAUGAUAUUCUUGCUCCAAGACAGAGCAUUUGCAUUUUUGGAGAAUGGUCUUGUUUCUUUUUACAGAUUGGCUUAAGAAGCUUUCAGAAAGGCUAAAAAUACCUUUUUAUAUUAACUAGCUUUCCCUUUCUUUGAGCUAAGCACACUGAGGUGUGGAAUGGUUUUGAUGAGCUCAUGAAUAUUGACACUAGAGCUACAAAGCUACAAACACUAGUGCAUCAUAUGAGCCCAUUUUACAUAGUGGUAGGAACUAUUCAUUACUAA